CGAGCCUGCCCGGUGACUAUAUGUUCAACGGCCGCGGUAUUUUAACCGUGCAAAGGUAGCGCAAUCACUUGUCUUUUAAAUGAAGACCUGUAUGAAUGGUAUUACGAGGGCUUAACUGUCUCCUUUUUCAAGUCAGUGAAAUUGAUCUCCCCGUGCAGAAGCGGGGAUAAAACCAUAAGACGAGAAGACCCUAUGGAGCUUUAAGACACUAAGGCAAAUCAAGUUAAACACCCCUAAACAAAGGACUAAACCUAUUGAACUCUUACCCGUAUGUCUUCGGUUGGGGCGACCAUGGGGAAACAAAAAACCCCCACGUGGAACGGGAGCACAACUACUCCUACAGCUGAGAGCUGCCGCUCUAAUAAGCAGAACUUCUGACCAAUAACUGAUCCGGCAACGCCGAUCAACGGACCAAGUUACCCUAGGGAUAACAGCGCAAUCCCCUUUUAGAGCCCCUAUCGACAAGGGGGUUUACGACCUCGAUGUUGGAUCAGGACAUCCCAAUGGUGCAGCCGCU
RNAcentral lists this ribosomal RNA (517 nucleotides) under Rastrelliger brachysoma (short mackerel). RNAcentral's name for it is "partial 16S ribosomal RNA". It matches the Rfam family "Bacterial large subunit ribosomal RNA", at positions 1853 to 2563 of the family's 2925-position model. The record is from RNAcentral. Lineage: Eukaryota; Metazoa; Chordata; Actinopteri; Scombriformes; Scombridae.